This 395-nucleotide ribosomal RNA is filed under the name uncultured bacterium. Its description in RNAcentral is "partial 16S ribosomal RNA". It matches the Rfam family "Bacterial small subunit ribosomal RNA", at positions 523 to 918 of the family's 1533-position model. The record is from RNAcentral.
AUACGUAGGGUGCAAGCGUUAAUCGGAAUUACUGGGCGUAAAGCGUGCGCAGGCGGUUUUGUAAGACAGAGGUGAAAUCCCCGGGCUCCACCUGGGAACUGCCUUUGUGACUGCAAGGCUAGAGUACGGCAGAGGGGGAUGGAAUUCCGCGUGUAGCAGUGAAAUGCGUAGAUAUGCGGAGGAACACCGAUGGCGAAGGCAAUCCCCUUGGCCUGUACUGACGCUCAUGCACUAAAGCGUGGGGAGCAAACAGGAUUAGAUGCCCUGGUAGUCCACGCCCUAAACGAUGUCAACUGGUUGUUGGUUCUUCAUUGACUCAGUAACGAAGCUAACGCGUGAGGUUGACCGCCUGGGGAGUACGGCCGCAAGGUUGAAGCUGAAGUGGAUUGACGGGU